CGCUUUCACUCCUACGGGGAGGCAGCAGUAGGGAAUCUUCCACAAUGGGCGCAAGCCUGAUGGAGCAACACCGCGUGAGUGAAGAAGGGUUUCGGCUCGUAAAGCUCUGUUGUUAAAGAAGAACACGUAUGAGAGUAACUGUUCAUACGUUGACGGUAUUUAACCAGAAAGUCACGGCUAACUACGUGCCAGCAGCCGCGGUAAUACGUAGGUGGCAAGCGUUAUCCGGAUUUAUUGGGCGUAAAGAGAGUGCAGGCGGUUUUCUAAGUCUGAUGUGAAAGCCUUCGGCUUAACCGGAGAAGUGCAUCGGAAACUGGAUAACUUGAGUGCAGAAGAGGGUAGUGGAACUCCAUGUGUAGCGGUGGAAUGCGUAGAUAUAUGGAAGAACACCAGUGGCGAAGGCGGCUACCUGGUCUGCAACUGACGCUGAGACUCGAAAGCAUGGGUAGCGAACAGGAUUAGAUACCCUGGUAG
Molecule: ribosomal RNA, 474 nt
Filed under: uncultured bacterium
Lineage: Bacteria
Description: bacterial SSU rRNA
Rfam family: Bacterial small subunit ribosomal RNA
Source: RNAcentral